GACGAACGCUGGCGGCGUGCCUAAUACAUGCAAGUAGAACGAGUUGCGAACGGGUGAGUAAAGCGUGGUAACCUGCCUCAUAGCGGGGGAUAACUAUUGGAAACGAUAGCUAAUACCGCAUACUUUUGGAUGGACCUGCGUUGUAUUAGCUAGUUGGUGAGGUAAAGGCUCACCUAGGCGACGAUCCCUAGCUGGUAUGAGAUGAUGACCAGCCACACUGGAACUGAGACACGGUCCAGACUCCUACGGGAGGCAGCAGUGGGGAAUAUUGCACAAUGGGAGCAAGCCUGAUGCAGCCAUGCCGCUUGUAUGAAGAAGGCCUUCGGGUUGUAAAGUACUUUCAGCGGGGAGGCGUUACCCGCAGAAGAAUCACCGGCUAACUCCGUGCCAGCCGCCGCGGUAAUUC
This 406-nucleotide ribosomal RNA is filed under the name uncultured bacterium. RNAcentral describes it as "partial 16S ribosomal RNA". It matches the Rfam family "Bacterial small subunit ribosomal RNA", at positions 28 to 526 of the family's 1533-position model. The record is from RNAcentral.